Corvus hawaiiensis (hawaiian crow) is the source of this 387-nucleotide long non-coding RNA. RefSeq lists it as uncharacterized. NCBI's taxonomy places the organism in Eukaryota, Metazoa, Chordata, Aves, Passeriformes, Corvidae. The transcript is spliced from 2 exons. The record is from RefSeq and is a predicted model, not a curated record.
GGAUGAAACCCACCAAAACUUGGCUUGAACCCACCCAAACUUGGCCUAAAGCCACCCAAAAUCGCUCCAAACCCAACAGAAAGGUCUUGAACCCACCCAAAACUCCACCCCCACCCCAACCCGACCCCGAAUCCCCAAAAACCGGCGGAAAAAAAAAAAAAACGACGGCGAAAAUUUCGGAACCGUCCCGGAAACGCCCAAAAAGGGCCCCGAAAGACGAGAGAAGGUCCCGGAAGCGGCGGAAUUCGGCGGCGCCGGCGGCGUCCGGGAUGAUUUUGGGAUGAUUUUUGGGAUGAUUUUGGGGAGUUUUGGGGGUGGAUUUUGGGGGAGGGGCGGCGCGGCCGCCGCCCAUUUUAGUAGAGAAUAAAAAUUUGGGGAGUUUUCCAA